RNAcentral lists this transfer RNA (67 nucleotides) under Methylovorus sp. MM2. RNAcentral describes it as "Methylovorus sp. MM1 tRNA". It matches the Rfam family "tRNA", at positions 10 to 63 of the family's 71-position model. From Rfam's summary of the family: Transfer RNA (tRNA) molecules are approximately 80 nucleotides in length. Their secondary structure includes four short double-helical elements and three loops (D, anti-codon, and T loops). Further hydrogen bonds mediate the characteristic L-shaped molecular structure. tRNAs have two regions of fundamental functional importance: the anti-codon, which is responsible for specific mRNA codon recognition, and the 3' end, to which the tRNAs corresponding amino acid is attached (by aminoacyl-tRNA synthetases). tRNAs cope with the degeneracy of the genetic code in two manners: having more than one tRNA (with a specific anti-codon) for a particular amino acid; and 'wobble' base-pairing, i.e. permitting non-standard base-pairing at the 3rd anti-codon position. Lineage: Bacteria; Pseudomonadati; Pseudomonadota; Betaproteobacteria; Nitrosomonadales; Methylophilaceae. The record is from Rfam by way of RNAcentral.
GUGUAGAGAUGCAACACGGGAGACUUAAAAUCUCUCGCUCGCAAGGGCGUGCCGGUUCGAUUCCGGC